Molecule: non-coding RNA, 77 nt
Organism: Xiphophorus maculatus (southern platyfish)
Lineage: Eukaryota; Metazoa; Chordata; Actinopteri; Cyprinodontiformes; Poeciliidae
Source: Rfam
GUUUCUCUGGCAGUGUCUUAGCUGGUUGUUGUGAGGAGUGAGAACGAAGCAAUCAGCAAGUAUACUGCCGCAGAAAU